GACGAACGCUGGCGGCAUGCCUAAUACAUGCAAGUCGAGCGAACUGACGGAGGAACUUGUUCCUCUUGACGUGAGCGGCGGACGGGUGAGUAACACGUGGGAAACCUACCCUUCAGCGGGGGAUAACCGUCGGAAACGAUGGCUAAUACCGCAUAGGUCUUUGAGUCACCUGGCUUAAAGAGGAAAGACGGCUUCGGCUGUCACUGAAGGAUGGUCCCGCGGUGCAUUAGCUAGUUGGUAAGGUAAUGGCUUACCAAGGCAAUGAUGCAUAGCCGACCUGAGAGGGUGAUCGGCCACACUGGGACUGAGACACGGCCCAG
Molecule: ribosomal RNA, 320 nt
Filed under: uncultured bacterium
Lineage: Bacteria
Description: bacterial SSU rRNA
Rfam family: Bacterial small subunit ribosomal RNA
Source: RNAcentral